AACCAACGCUGGCGGCGUGCCUAAUACAUGCAAGUCGAACGGGGAAAGUAGCAAUAUGAGUACUAGUGGCGCACGGGUGAGUAACGCGUGGAUAAUCUGCCUUGAAGAGGGGGAUAACUAGUCGAAAGAUUAGCUAAUACCGCAUAAGACCACAAGAACUGAGGUUCAAGGGGUCAAAGGUUUUUCGCUUCAAGAUGAGUCCGCGUAAGAUUAGCUAGUUGGUGAGGUAAUGGCUCACCAAGGCAACGAUCUUUAACUGGUCUGAGAGGAUGAUCAGUCACACUGGAACUGAGACACGGUCCAGACUCCUACGGGAGGCAGCAGUAGGGAAUAUUGCACAAUGGAGGAAACUCUGAUGCAGCGACGCCGCGUGAGUGAUGAAGGCCUUCGGGGCGUAAAGCUCUGUCGCAGGGGAAUAACACAAUGAAUGUACCCUGUAAGAAAGGAUCGGCUAACUUCGUG
This 462-nucleotide ribosomal RNA is filed under the name uncultured bacterium. RNAcentral describes it as "partial 16S ribosomal RNA". It matches the Rfam family "Bacterial small subunit ribosomal RNA", at positions 32 to 507 of the family's 1533-position model. The record is from RNAcentral.